This 250-nucleotide ribosomal RNA is filed under the name uncultured prokaryote. RNAcentral's name for it is "partial 16S ribosomal RNA". It matches the Rfam family "Bacterial small subunit ribosomal RNA", at positions 524 to 773 of the family's 1533-position model. The record is from RNAcentral.
UACGUAGGGGGCAAGCGUUAUCCGGAUUUACUGGGUGUAAAGGGAGCGCAGGCGGCAUGGCAAGUCAGAUGUGAAAACCCGGGGCCCAACCCCGGGCCUGCAUUUGAAACUGUCAGGCUAGAGUACAGGAGAGGCAGGCGGAAUUCCUAGUGUAGCGGUGAAAUGCGUAGAUAUUAGGAGGAACACCGGUGGCGAAGGCGGCCUGCUGGACUGGUACUGACGCUGAGGCUCGAAAGCGUGGGGAGCAAAC